UUCCUAUCUGGUACGCAGACCUGAGCAAGGCUAUAUAACGCCGAUGUUUCAAACGUAAAAAAGGUUAUAUACUUUUAAGAUAAAAACAAUGCAAAAAUAAAAUAUUUGUAGCAUUUACAAAUAGUACAAGAGUUACAUUAAACACUACAUUCGAAACUUGAAAUGCGUUACGCAGUCUCUACUUUGAGCUUGAUGUUUUCAUAUCUUGAAGCCAUCGAACUUGUGUGGCCGGUCC
RNAcentral lists this long non-coding RNA (235 nucleotides) under Gallus gallus (chicken). The record is from RNAcentral. Lineage: Eukaryota; Metazoa; Chordata; Aves; Galliformes; Phasianidae.